GCCGGAAUAGCUCAGUCGGUAGAGCAGAGGACUGAAAAUCCUCGUU
This 46-nucleotide transfer RNA is filed under the name Calomnion brownseyi. RNAcentral's name for it is "partial tRNA-Phe". It matches the Rfam family "tRNA", at positions 1 to 45 of the family's 71-position model. Rfam says of the family: Transfer RNA (tRNA) molecules are approximately 80 nucleotides in length. Their secondary structure includes four short double-helical elements and three loops (D, anti-codon, and T loops). Further hydrogen bonds mediate the characteristic L-shaped molecular structure. tRNAs have two regions of fundamental functional importance: the anti-codon, which is responsible for specific mRNA codon recognition, and the 3' end, to which the tRNAs corresponding amino acid is attached (by aminoacyl-tRNA synthetases). tRNAs cope with the degeneracy of the genetic code in two manners: having more than one tRNA (with a specific anti-codon) for a particular amino acid; and 'wobble' base-pairing, i.e. permitting non-standard base-pairing at the 3rd anti-codon position. The record is from RNAcentral. Lineage: Eukaryota; Viridiplantae; Streptophyta; Bryopsida; Rhizogoniales; Calomniaceae. RNAcentral also lists the same sequence under 1 other name.